AGAUGAUCCGCAGGCUUCCGUCCCUUCCGGUUUGGGCCACCUGUCGUCAAGGUGACGGUUUGCUUGGAGGCCCGAGGUGACCCUGACCUUGGAGCCGCGCCUCAGGUUGCAAGAUCCCUGCUAAAGCACAUGGGUAAGCAGAGGAAGAUGGCCUAGAGCCUUGGGACCCUGCAUUCCUGUGGGAGACCCAGAUGAGAAUCCUGGUAUGUGUAAAUAUCAAGAUACCUUGGGUUCAUUGUCUCUCUGGGACUUACAACGACCCUAAAAGGCAGGGACUUUGAUCCCCAUUGUAGA
Long non-coding RNA from Ochotona princeps (American pika), 294 nucleotides. RefSeq lists it as uncharacterized. The record is from RefSeq and is a predicted model, not a curated record. The transcript has 3 exons. NCBI's taxonomy places the organism in Eukaryota, Metazoa, Chordata, Mammalia, Lagomorpha, Ochotonidae.